This 253-nucleotide ribosomal RNA is filed under the name uncultured bacterium. RNAcentral describes it as "partial 16S ribosomal RNA". It matches the Rfam family "Bacterial small subunit ribosomal RNA", at positions 524 to 776 of the family's 1533-position model. The record is from RNAcentral.
CACGGGGGGAGCAAGCGUUGUUCGGAAUCACUGGGCGUAAAGGGCGUGCAGGCGGUCAGGUAAGUGGGAUGUGAAAUGCCCCGGCUCACCCGGGGACCGGCAUCUCAUACUGCUUGGCUUGAGUACGGGAGAGGAUGUGGGAAUUCCUGGUGUAGCGGUGAAAUGCGCAGAUAUCAGGAGGAACACCGGUGGCGAAGGCGGUUCUCUGGGCAUUACCUGACGCUGAGGAGCGAAAGUGUGGGGAGCGAACAGG